GAUGAACGCUGGCGGCGUGCCUAAUACAUGCAAGUCGAGCGAACAGACGAGAAGCUUGCUCCUCUGACGUUAGCGGCGGACGGGUGAGUAACACGUGGAUAACCUACCUAUAAGACUGGGAUAACUUCGGGAAACCGGAGCUAAUACCGGAUAAUAUAUUGAACCGCAUGGUUCAAUAGUGAAAGACGGUUUUGCUGUCACUUAUAGAUGGAUCCGUGCCGCAUUAGCUAGUUGGUAAGGUAACGGCUUACCAAGGCGACGAUGCGUAGCCGACCUGAGAGGGUGAUCGGCCACACUGGAACUGAGACACGGUCCAGACUCCUACGGGAGGCAGCAGUAGGGAAUCUUCCGCAAUGGGCGAAAGCCUGACGGAGCAACGCCGCGUGAGUGAUGAAGGUCUUCGGAUCGUAAAACUCUGUUAUUAGGGAAGAACAAAUGUGUACGUAACUAUGCACGUCUUGACGGUACCUAAUCAGAAAGCCACGGCUAACUACGUG
RNAcentral lists this ribosomal RNA (497 nucleotides) under uncultured bacterium. Its description in RNAcentral is "partial 16S ribosomal RNA". It matches the Rfam family "Bacterial small subunit ribosomal RNA", at positions 28 to 507 of the family's 1533-position model. The record is from RNAcentral.